GGUAGAACUAUUUUGAGUUCCAUGAAGAGCCUUGUGGAAAGGGUUCUACAUGGAACCCAAAAGGGUUCUACCUGGAACCAUAUAGGGUUCUCCUAUGGGGACAGCCAAUGAACCCUUUUUUUCUAAGAGUGUACGGACUUCAAACCAUCCAAUCGAAAUGUAGAGAAACAUAGAGUGCAAGGAAAUUAAAGGCUGAUUUACCUAACUCUGUAGACACCGAAGGAAUCUCCAAAGUUAACCAACCCUGUGAGCGAGUUUGAUCAUUUGUCAUUUUAAAUCUUAACAGUGAUGUUAGGCAAGCUUAGCUUAGCUUUUGGAGCAGGGCUUUGUAAACAAAAGGAGCGUAAUGAUGUGAUCUACGUGACUUUAAAGAGUUUCAACCAAACUUUUGGUAAAGAGUGCCGUGAUGAGUAGUAAACCGCCUCCUGUGAAAAAACAAAAUUUCACCUGUGGGUUGGAUGUGGGUAGGGGGGUGAGACCUGUAGGUAGGGUGUGAGACUGGUGGGUAGAUGUGAGACCUGUAGGUAGGGUGUGAGACCUGUGGGUAGAUGUGAGACCUGUAGGUAGGGUGUGAGACCUGUGGGUAUAAUGUGAGUCCUGUGGGUAGGUGUUGAGACCUGUAGGUAGGGUGUGAGACUGGUGGGUAGAUGUGAGACCUGUGGGUAGGUUGUGAGACCUGUAGGUAGGGUGUGAGACCUGUGGGUAGAUUGUGAGUCCUGUGGGUAGGUUGUGAGUCCUGUGGAUAGAUGUGAGACCUGUGGGUAGGUUGUGAGACCUGUGGGUAGGUUGUGAGACCUGUGGGUAGAUGUGAGACCUGUGGGUAGGUUGUGAGACCUGUGGGUAGGUGUUGAGACCUGUGGGUAGAUGUGAGACCUGUGGGUAGGUUGUGAGACCUGUGGGUAGAUGUGAGACCUGUGGGUAGGUUGUGAGACCUGUAGGUAGGUUGUGAGACCUGUUGGUAGGUUGUGAGACCUGUUGGCAGGGGGUGAGACAUGUGGGUAGAUGUGAGACCUGUUGGUAGGUUGUGAGACCUGUUGGUAGGGGGUGAGACCUGUUUGUAGGGGAUGAGAUCUGUUGGUAGGGGGUGAGACCUGUUGGUAGGGGGUGAGACCUGUCGGUAGGUGGUGAGACCUGUUGGUAGGUUGUGAGACCUGUGGGUAGGUUGUGAGACCUGUCGGUAGGUUGUGAGACCUGUAGGUAGGGGGUGAGACCUGUCGGUAGGUGAUGAGACCUGUGGGUAGGUCGUUAAUUUAAUACAUGAGUAGAUCUCUGGUCUGACAGUAGAUUGACUGCUACACUCCUUCAAUAUGGAUAGAAAGGAAUUUCAUACAAAUGUACUUUUCUAUUUAUUUAGUAGUACCCGUUUGCAUGUGAUUUUACACUUUCAGACUUUGUAUGAGAUAAAACUCAGCAUUCCAUUUAAUUAUUUAGCAGAUGUUCUUAUUCAGGGCGACAACAAGUGAAUUCAAUUCAAAAAGCUGACACCCACACACAGUUCCAAGCUCCCCACCGACCUGUCUCUUCCUCCACACAUUCAUUCUCAAACACACGGUCCCAGCUCCCCACCGACCUGUCUCUUUCUCUACACAUUCAUUCUCAAACACACGGUCCCAGCUCCCCACCGACCUGUCUCUUCCUCGACACAUUCAUUCUCAAACACACGGUCCCAGCUCCCCACCGACCUGUCUCUUUCUCCAAACAUUCAUUCUCAAACACACGGUCCCAGCUCCCCACCGACCUGUCUCUUCCUCCACACAUUCAUACUCAAACACACGGUCCCAGCUCCCCACCGACCUGUCUCUUUCUCCACACAUUCAUUCUCAAACACACGGUCCCAGCUCCCCACCGACCUGUCUCUUCCUCCACACAUUCAUUCUCAAACACACGGUCCCGUCUCCAUCUCACACAGACACGGCUACAGGUUCUAUCCUGUGUAUGUGUGUAGGACUUGCGGAGUGUGACACAGCCGUGGUGAGACAAUCUGAGCGGUAAUACACUCCUCAGUCAUCAUGGUUGUGGCGGGGUCCCAGAACAACACUGUGGAGAUGACCUGAUUCUUGUCAUCACGACCACCGGUGAUAAAGAAUUUGUUGUGUUAUUACUAUUAUCUAACACUACUAGUAGUAGAUAACAUUACUGUUGUCUAACAUUACUAGUAGUAGAUAACAUUACUGUUGUCUAACAUUACCAGUAGUAGAUCACAUUACUGUUAUCUAACAUUACUAGUAGUAGAUCACAAUUCUGUUAUCUAACAGUAUUAGUAGUAGAUCACAUUACUGUUAUCUAACAGUACUAGUAGUAGAUAACAUUACUGUUAUUACUGUUGUCUAACACUACUAGAAGUAGAUAACAUUACUGUUGUCUGACAUUACUAGUAGUAGAUGUCAUGACGUUGGCAUGUUGGGGGAGGUUUGUGACCCCCAUGAAUACCUUUCCCCUUUUUCCUCUCUCUACAGAUGUGUCUAUUGAAAAUCCCUUUGUAACAUAGAGAGUCUGGUAACAUCAAAAGUUGGGAAACGGAACCAUAUUUCAGUAAUCCAACCAGUUGAAAAUAUGCGUUGGUACUUAAUGAAUAUGAUCUCAGAUCAGUUGUUGUCUGAGACAUUACUACUGAUGAUAGUAUGACAUAAACUGUAUUACGGAAAAUCUACACAUUCUCAGAUUGUUGUGAAAUUUAAAUGUUUAAAUAUGAAACUAUUUGUGAACAGAUGAAAUGUAAUUUUAGCUUCUUAAUGAGAUAACGGUUUGUCAUUAGAACACCACUCUGCUCACUCAGAGCCCCCCCACCCCAAGUGACCAGACAUUGGUUGUAUACUAUGAAACACGCCCUUCUUUCACCACCAUAUAAACCCGUUGAUGAAAAAUCUACUUUUUAUUCCAAGGACGAAAGGACGGCGGUCCCCACGUUGAAAGGGCUAAGAUAAUAACCUAACGAAAUUAGCAUUGAAUUUCAACGUGUAGAUGGCGGUCGACACUCCGAAAGGAUGAAUUUUGACUAUACCAGCCAGAAUCUAGCAUGAGCUUAGAGUAUGGCAACUUGAUAUGAACUUUGAACUCUUAUUCACUAAAGAGGUGAGACCUCCUAGCCGAUUGAGUUAGCCACAGCAACUGUAAACGUGGGCUAGGAAAGGACGGACGACUUAUCCAGUCUAACAAGCAACGAAGAUACUAUAACGUAUCCAGUUUCCCACCAGAGACAUUCUUCAGAGGACAAGGAAGAUCUCUGUUGAGCAACACAGCCUUCCAUCCACGACCAACCUAUUGAAGCGCAGCUCAGAGUAAAUAUUCCUUGCAUUUUCCAUUUUCCCAAAUGGGCGGUUAUUUAGAAUGUUUAAGAUUCUGUAUUUAUGAUAGCAUAGCUUCUCCCUUUGUUACUCAGUCUUCCCGCACUUUCAUUCAAAACCCAACCCCCUUUCUUUGUGUAUGUAACCAGCCGUCAUAUCAGUUCCAUCCACUAGGGACGUUUUCCUUUAUAACAUAAUUUGUAAUCAAUGUAUGAUCCAU
Oncorhynchus tshawytscha (Chinook salmon) is the source of this 3504-nucleotide long non-coding RNA. The record is from Ensembl. Lineage: Eukaryota; Metazoa; Chordata; Actinopteri; Salmoniformes; Salmonidae.